AGGCUUCCAAUUUAGAGAUUCCCACAUAUAGACUGGCCAUUACUCUGCCUUUUUUGUUCUCACAUGAAUCACUUCUCUUGGCUUCUCCACCACUCUAUCAUCAUUUCUCUUUCUUUUUUCUCCAUUCAAUCCCUGCAUACCAACUCCCAAAAUCAGCACAAAAACUUAAUAAUUUUAUUAUGAUUUUUCCAUUUACACAAAAUAAAUGAUUCAACACGAAAAAGAUAGAAAUAAAUAACUAAAUAAAAGAAAGACCAAUUAGCCUUAUUAUUUUCACUUAACAACCCAACAAGCCUGAGGUGGAGACAAAUUCAUAAAACUUUCAACAGUAAACCCCACUUCUUUGACGGGCUAUUACAUAUAUGGUGUAUAAAGUAAAUGAAUUAAUAAUAUGCAUUUUCCAACUAAUAAUUUGGACUAAAAUGUUAAACACUUCCUCGACCAGCCGCUAGACUCCAAAACUAACAAAAAUGGAAAAUGACUUGAGCUAUAGAAAUUUUUUUAAAUUAGGGAAUAUACAUAUAUAUGAAAAAUGAAGCUGGUAUCCACCAGGCCACCGCCACCCAAUGGGAGUUCAUCAGUCUAUUCACAAUUUCCC
RNAcentral lists this long non-coding RNA (598 nucleotides) under Citrus maxima (pomelo). Its description in RNAcentral is "long non-coding RNA (CMAX_LNC003939)". The record is from RNAcentral. Lineage: Eukaryota; Viridiplantae; Streptophyta; Magnoliopsida; Sapindales; Rutaceae.